Long non-coding RNA from Catharus ustulatus (Swainson's thrush), 3213 nucleotides. RefSeq lists it as uncharacterized. The record is from RefSeq and is a predicted model, not a curated record. The transcript has 3 exons. Lineage: Eukaryota; Metazoa; Chordata; Aves; Passeriformes; Turdidae.
CAUCCGCCUGGGGACGGGAGCAACAGCGAAGGUUUUGAAAUAGAGAAAUUCAGAUUUAAGAAUUAAAUAUUUAGAAAGAUUUUGAUUGAAAAGGGGACUGACGAAACUAUAGUGUCAGCUAUAAUUUAUGGUGCUUGCAAAACAGGAAAAGCAGCCAAGCUGCAGGAUGAAGUUGGCAGAUUAAAAUAGAAGAACAAAGACCCACAGGAUGAGGGGGUCCCUGGGAAGAAAAAACUAAUACCAAAGUCCGGAAAUUGACCAAAGGACUAAGAAGAGAGCAUGCGCAGGAAUACAAGUCUCUUACAGAGAAAACUUUAGAGCCACAGUAAGAAGGACCAUUCCAGGUGCUCCUCACCACCUUCACUGCAAUUAAGAUCAAGGAACAGAGUGCCUGGAUUCACCACUCUCGAGUGAAAAAAGCUCCAGAAGCCCCUUGGAAAGUAACAUCAGGAAAAGCAGCCAAGCUGCAGGAUGAAGUUGGCAGAUUAAAAUAGAAGAACAAAGACCCACAGGAUGAGGGGGUCCCUGGGAAGAAAAAACUAAUACCAAAGUCCGGAAAUUGACCAAAGGACUAAGAAGAGAGCAUGCGCAUGAAUACAAGGUGAAAAGUUCAAACUGGGAAGAAGACUAUUUACUUCAUCUAAAAAGACCCCCAAGACCACCAGAGCGACCCAAAAAGGAAUAAUGCGCAGCUGAAAAGAGGUGUGAAACUAAUUUCCAUAUGAAGCAGGGAUAAGCAAUGAAUAUGUAUUAGGCGAAUUGUAUAUUCCUAGUUUGUAGAGAAUAAAAGGCGAGGCGCAGGUCGCCAAAGGUGUGCAUGGCCACACUGUGGGGACUUCAGGCAGCAUCGCGGUUAAAUAGUAAAAAUAUUCCACAAAUGGAAAGGAAGAGGUCACAGAAUCAGGUUGGAAAGCACCUCCGAGGUCAUGGAGUCCGAGCUGUGACCCAACACCACCCUAUCAGCCAAACCGUAGCACUCAGUGCCACAUCCAGUCAUUGCUUAACACCUCCCUGGGCUGGGCAGCUCACUCCAAAGUCUAGUUGCUCUUCAGGUAAGAACCUCCCCUGGCACAACUUGAGGUUGUGUCGUCUUGUCCUAUCCUUUUGGGGGUUUUUAAAUUAUUUUCUCCUUCAAAUCACUGCCAUGCAGAUUGCACUUGAUCUCAGCAGCAAUAUUUGGCAUAAAUUCCAAAGAGGUUUGUUCAUGAAACUAGUGCACUGCUUGCUUUUGGAAUGUCAAGCAACAACUGUAUAGAUGAGGUCAUCUGAUUAAGUGAUCUGGUCUGACCAGUAGAAUAAACCUUAGUCUUAAAGCAGCAAUCUAAGACUUUUUAUGCCCUUGUGGUUAAAAUACUUAUUUGAAUCAAACUUCAUUGAGUAGCAGCUGUAGCUUUGAUUGUACAUAAAUAAAAUAAAUUAUUAAGGACUGCUAUAAAUAAAUAAUUUAAUGACUGCAUACAGAUGGGGCCAACACUGACCUCUCUGUAGCAAAAAAUCAGUCAUAUUGUCUUCUUCAGUUUUAUAUGCAGAGUUUUUUUAGGGCACUAAACAAUUUUCACGAAAUAAAGGCCCUUUUUCUUCUUUUAACUAUAUGUAAGGAUAAGAACAGGAAAUCAAUUACUUAUUUUAUGACUUAGUUCAAGAUGUCUAUGUGGACAUGCUCUUACUGCAGGAUAUUAAAUUUUUUAAUAUUAAGGUUUUGAUGGUUUAUGUAAAGGCACUUCUAAGCAAAUGACCCUUUAUAGCAAGGGUGAUAUUGGAUCUGGUAGUCAAACCUUUUGUAUGCUGCAAGGCAUUUGAUUUCUUCUGCCAUAUCAAAGUCCAUAAACUCCUCACUCUUCAGACCUAAAAUGAAAAAAGAGCUAAUUAAAAACUGUUGAUUUAGUUACAAUGGAAUUAUUUAUAAUGGUAAGAACACACAUGGGGUGUACAUGGUGUUAAAUAUCACACUUAUUCAUUAGCUUGGACAAUCACAUGCAUACAGAAAUAUUGAAUGCAAUUAAAAAUUUCUUAAGAUCUGCUGCAGCCAGCUUCACUAGAUCAUGAAGAAAUAAAUAACAUUUUUGAGAGUGUACAGAAUACAUAAAAAUCUUGUCAGUACCUAUAAUAAUGGAUUAAUUUGUCUUUAAAUAAUGUGCCUUAGUAUUAUACACAUGGAUUCUAUGAGAUAGGCAGUAUUCUGCUAACCAAGUAUGCUUUCUGUUCUUCCAUUUAUACUUUUCAAAGAUUCACAAUGUGUUUGACAUUUGUAAAACUGAACAAAUAUGUGUCUAGAAACUCUGGAAACUUGUAAUGUCCAGAUGUAGAAUUUAGUUAUAUGUAUUUUUUGCCUGUGUGUAUGUUUGUCUGUGUGUGUUUUGAUGUAGGGGUGUGUGUAUGUGCCUGUUCCCAAACCAGCAGACAAAUUCAGGGAGGUUUCUGUUUGCUUUAAAGCCCAGUUGAUUAAUACUGUGAGAAGCAAACAUUGCUGCCAUUCCCACAUACUUGUAUUAUUGUCAACUGUUCUCUUUGCAUGACAGCUGACUGAGCACCUGCCCUCCUGAUUCUGUUCUGUUUUUUACUUUGUUUCAUUUUGUUAUUUCUCAUUCUGCUUUUAGAAAUGUCACAUGUGCUAAUUUUUUUUCCCUUUUAAUUAUCCCUUGGAUGAUUUGCAGACCAUUUUAUCUAGAUACCUUACUUGCAAUCAUUAACUGCUGAGAAGCAGGGUGAGUGAAGAGCAGGCAGCAUCCAAACUAAUAAUCCUACCUGGUGCAAUUCUCUGUGAUGUCAUUCCAGGACUGAGGAUAUAAGUGAUUCUAAAAAGCUGCAGUUCAAGGCAGACAGGCCUAGCUGCUGCUGCACUCCUCUUUACACUGCUAACCAUUGUAAGAAGAAUUAGUGGACAAUAAUCCUUGUUUGGGUGUCAAGAAAGGAAGAUAGAGAAGGAAGAAGCAGCAGGGCAAGGAGGAAGAGUCAUCAGGAAGGAAACUCAGGUGAAGAAGAGUUGGGACUCAUUAAUUCUUCAUUUCUCUACAAGUGUGGCGAAUGUUGAUCAUAGUAGUAACUUCUAGCAUCUCUACAAAAAUGUCAUGCCUCAAGUCAAAUGACUUCUUGGCUUUGGGAGGAGUUUCACAUCAAUAUAACACGUUGAGACAGGAAAAAGUGUAACCCUUUGAAGGAAUGGUGUCUAAUCUCUGAUGUGUCAAAAUGCUUUUGCCUGAAACUCCUCACUUG